Molecule: transfer RNA, 72 nt
Filed under: Camelus bactrianus (Bactrian camel)
Lineage: Eukaryota; Metazoa; Chordata; Mammalia; Artiodactyla; Camelidae
Also listed under: 2 other names
Rfam family: tRNA
About the family: Transfer RNA (tRNA) molecules are approximately 80 nucleotides in length. Their secondary structure includes four short double-helical elements and three loops (D, anti-codon, and T loops). Further hydrogen bonds mediate the characteristic L-shaped molecular structure. tRNAs have two regions of fundamental functional importance: the anti-codon, which is responsible for specific mRNA codon recognition, and the 3' end, to which the tRNAs corresponding amino acid is attached (by aminoacyl-tRNA synthetases). tRNAs cope with the degeneracy of the genetic code in two manners: having more than one tRNA (with a specific anti-codon) for a particular amino acid; and 'wobble' base-pairing, i.e. permitting non-standard base-pairing at the 3rd anti-codon position.
Source: Rfam by way of RNAcentral
GGGUGUAUAGCUCAGUGGAAGGGCACGUGCUUAGCAUGCAGGAAGUCCUGGGUUCAAUCCCCAGCACCUCCA